UCCCGCAACGAGCGCAACCCUUGCCUUUAGUUGCCAGCAGUUCGGCGUGGGCACUCUAAAGGGACUGCCGGUGUUAAACCGGAGGAAGGUGGGGAUGACGUCAAGUCCUCAUGGCCUUUAUGACCAGGGCUACACACGUACUACAAUGGCCGAUACAAAGGGCAGCGACACUGCGAGGUGAAGCCAAUCCCGUAAAAAUCGGUCUCAGUCCGGAUUGGAGUCUGCAACUCGACUCCAUGAAGUUGGAAUCGCUAGUAAUCGUGGAUCAGCAUGCCACGGUGAAUACGUUCCCGGGCCUU
Molecule: ribosomal RNA, 299 nt
Filed under: uncultured Desulfobulbus sp.
Lineage: Bacteria; Pseudomonadati; Thermodesulfobacteriota; Desulfobulbia; Desulfobulbales; Desulfobulbaceae
Description: partial 16S ribosomal RNA
Rfam family: Bacterial small subunit ribosomal RNA
Source: RNAcentral